Ictalurus punctatus (channel catfish) is the source of this 621-nucleotide long non-coding RNA. The record is from Ensembl. NCBI's taxonomy places the organism in Eukaryota, Metazoa, Chordata, Actinopteri, Siluriformes, Ictaluridae.
CCCUGCAUGACCUGCUCUUUGGUGCCGUGGUGGUAAAUUUAUGUUGAGCACCUUUAAACAAAGCAAGAACGAGAGAAGAAGAGAGGGAGGGAGAGAGAAGACUUGGCGGAACACAAUGAGCGAAAAGAAGUUUGUCAGAGUUCAUUAAGUAUCAGGGGAAGAUCUGCGGGGCUGGCAAGGCGAGGCGCGCCGUGGGCCGGGCGCCAUUAAUCACGUCUGACAGCGAAGCGGGCACGCCGAGACGCUGCUCGUGAUUACAGAGAAGGGUCCUGAGCGAAUUGGUCGGUUUGCCGAACAGAAACCCGAGACGAGGAGGCAAGAAAGCGGAACCAAAGAGCUCUCGACCUGCAUUACUCUCAUUGGCCCCCGUUUUUCAUGGCGAGACCCCUUUCCUGUUUCGAAACAAUCACGGCCACGUGGGAGCGAAUGAGCCGAGUCACUGUGUCUUUACCCUGUCUGUAUAAAACAUCUACAGUGAUAUGCUAGCGAGAUAAGUCGCUAAUCAGAUGAACAGAUACGGCGCAGGGUCACGGAAGGAGACGGAAGGACAAUCGGAUGAAUGGAGGAGGGUGUGGGGUUUUUUUUUGAGUUAAAGGAAAUAUGGCACGGCGUUGACAGGAG